GGGGGCUCGAGUGCAACUCCCACCCUUUGUGACCAACCUACCAGCUGCUUCGGCGGCGAAACUCUUUAUAUUAUUAUCUCUGAUUACUUAUUCAAUAAGUUAAAACUUUCAACAACGGAUCUCUUGGUUCUGGCAUCGAUGAAGAACGCAGCGAAAUGCGAUAAGUAAUGUGAAUUGCAGAAUUCAGUGAAUCAUCGAAUCUUUGAACGCACAUUGCGCCCGCCAGUAUUCUGGCGGGCAUGCCUGUUCGAGCGUCAUUUCAACCAUCAAGCCCCAGGCUUGUGUUGGAGCCCUGCGGCUGCCGCAGCCUCCCAAAAUUAGUGGCGGGCUCGCUAUUACACCGAGUGCAGUAGUUUACUCUUCGCUCAGGAUGUGUGGCGGGUGCUAGCCGUAAAACCCCCUACUUCUCAAGGUUGACCUCGGAUCAGGUAGGAAUACCCGCUGAACUUAAGCAUAUCAAUAAGCGGAGGAA
Molecule: ribosomal RNA, 472 nt
Filed under: Podospora intestinacea
Lineage: Eukaryota; Fungi; Ascomycota; Sordariomycetes; Sordariales; Podosporaceae
Description: eukaryotic LSU rRNA
Rfam family: 5.8S ribosomal RNA (bases 104-257)
Source: RNAcentral